RNAcentral lists this ribosomal RNA (229 nucleotides) under uncultured eukaryote. RNAcentral describes it as "partial 18S ribosomal RNA". It matches the Rfam family "Eukaryotic small subunit ribosomal RNA", at positions 1208 to 1456 of the family's 1831-position model. The record is from RNAcentral.
UGAAAUCUCACCAGGCCCGGACACUGGAAGGAUUGACAGAUUGAUAGCUCUUUCUUGAUUCGGUGCGUGGUGGUGCAUGGCCGUUCUUAAUUGGUUGAGUGAUUUGUCUUGUUAAUUCCGAUAACGAACGAGACUCUGUCCUGCUAAAUAGUGUCUGCUUCUCUUUCGAGCAGACAAUUCUUCUUAGAGGGACUAUAUAUGUUAAGUAUAUGGAAGUUUGAGGCAAUAA